RNAcentral lists this non-coding RNA (70 nucleotides) under pig gut metagenome. RNAcentral's name for it is "Cyclic di-GMP-I riboswitch". The stretch from base 9 to 69 matches the Rfam family "c-di-GMP-I riboswitch aptamer", at positions 12 to 85 of the family's 87-position model. Rfam says of the family: GEMM was predicted in a large-scale screen for bacterial structured RNA regulatory elements. Genes associated with GEMM are involved in a diverse array of functions, including chemotaxis regulation, signal transduction, secretion and chitin. The record is from RNAcentral.
AGACAAGAGCAAACCCAUCGCAAGGUGGGGACGCAAAGCUACAGGGGCUUUUAAGCCAGCCAGCUGCCGC